GACGAACGCUGGCGGCGUGCCUAAUACAUGCAAGUAGAACGCUGAAGGAGGAGCUUGCUUCUCCGGAUGAGUUGCGAACGGGUGAGUAACGCGUAGGUAACCUGCCUGGUAGCGGGGGAUAACUAUUGGAAACGAUAGCUAAUACCGCAUAACAGUAGAUAUUGCAUGAUAUCUGCUUGAAAGGUGCAAUUGCAUCACUACCAGAUGGACCUGCGUUGUAUUAGCUAGUUGGUGAGGUAACGGCUCACCAAGGCGACGAUACAUAGCCGACCUGAGAGGGUGAUCGGCCACACUGGGACUGGGACACGGCCCAGACUCCUACGGGAGGCAGCAGUAGGGAAUCUUCGGCAAUGGACGGAAGUCUGACCGAGCAACGCCGCGUGAGUGAAGAAGGUUUUCGGAUCGUAAAGCUCUGUUGUAAGAGAAGAACGAGUGUGAGAGUGGAAAGUUCACACUGUGACGGUAUCUUACCAGAAAGGGACGGCUAACUACGUG
RNAcentral lists this ribosomal RNA (495 nucleotides) under uncultured bacterium. Its description in RNAcentral is "partial 16S ribosomal RNA". It matches the Rfam family "Bacterial small subunit ribosomal RNA", at positions 28 to 507 of the family's 1533-position model. The record is from RNAcentral.